Molecule: long non-coding RNA, 764 nt
Organism: Hirundo rustica (Barn swallow)
Lineage: Eukaryota; Metazoa; Chordata; Aves; Passeriformes; Hirundinidae
Exons: 2
Source: RefSeq, a predicted model, not a curated record
CCGGUGCAGGAGAAGAGCAGAGCCUACGGAGCUUGCAGCCCUGUGGGGGCCAGCUGGAUUAAAUCACCAAGGGUGACAGAUUUUCCUUCUGCUGUCCUGCUGUGGGUAGGAGCUGCCAGCAAAGGGACAGUAACGAGCAGUGGGACAGAAGAGACUUGUGAGCUGGGAAGAUGCACAAGAGCUGAGAAAAGACAUCAAGAUCAGUGUUUUGUCCCAGGAGCACCAGCCCUUCACCUGGAAGUGAGUGUAAGGGGGCAAUAACUCAGUCUCUGUGCUCUGCUCUUCAUUUGAACAUGUCAGAAAUUGCUUCACUGCAGAGGGCCAAGCUCCCAGACAGAUGCAAGAGGCUUGUGCAGGGGAGGAUUGCACUUGCAGUUUACAGCAGACUGGUUUCUGCUGAGAGGCAGAUGUGACUUUGCUGUGCAGCAGAGCCAGCCCCCAUCCCUCCUCUGUGAGCCCUGGUGGAGUCCUGAGGCGGAAAAGCCGAGUGCAGCUCCGAAGGGCACACGUUUCCUGUCUCUUCCUCCUGGCAGGUUUUGUCUGCAGACACUGGCUUGAGUACCCCGUAAUUACAUUUUCGCAUUUUUUAAUAUAGUAACACAUGGCUGGGCUUGUGGUAGGGAGCCAAGUGAUGUCUUUGGGCUGUGAGGACUAUAAAUAACCAAAGGGAUCAUUUUAUUUGGUUAUGGAAGGAAGAAGGUCUUUCUUCAGCAGUUGCUGUACAAACACAGCUUUGGAGCAAAUAAAGAAGGGUUCUUCUUUUU